UGGGCACAAACUGGAAGACA
This 20-nucleotide microRNA is filed under the name Gallus gallus (chicken). RNAcentral describes it as "gga-miR-6672-3p". Lineage: Eukaryota; Metazoa; Chordata; Aves; Galliformes; Phasianidae. The record is from miRBase by way of RNAcentral.